AUGCCCAAUCCCAAGGUCUUCCCUCAGCUGGUGAAGCACAUGAGCCGGUGUCAAGCAAUAUCCCCUGUAUACUUUGUCCUUGUGUUCUUUCCAAGUAUGAAUCCAUAUCAGCUGCAUCACGGAGCUCCAUGCACAGUGAUGCAAAGCAUCCAGGAUGUGAUCAAUCAUAUGUUGGAGAAUGGCAUUGAGACCUUACUUCACUGGAUAAUGGCAUUUAUAUGCGAUUCCAGUCCUUUCACAGUGCAGUAUUCUCAGGAUAUAUCUGAUUAUGAUGAUGUUCCGUACUGCUCUGGAGCCGACAACUUUUUGGACUGCUCGAUGUUUAUAACCAAUGAGACUACUUUUUUGGUUGUUGGCUGGAGCUAUCACUAUGACUGA
Molecule: ribosomal RNA, 378 nt
Filed under: Triticum aestivum (bread wheat)
Lineage: Eukaryota; Viridiplantae; Streptophyta; Magnoliopsida; Poales; Poaceae
Description: partial small subunit ribosomal RNA
Source: RNAcentral